Molecule: ribosomal RNA, 468 nt
Filed under: uncultured bacterium
Lineage: Bacteria
Description: partial 16S ribosomal RNA
Rfam family: Bacterial small subunit ribosomal RNA
Source: RNAcentral
GACGAACGCUGGCGGCGUGCUUAACACAUGCAAGUCGAACGGAAAGGCCCUGCUUUUGUGGGGUGCUCGAGUGGCGAACGGGUGAGUAACACGUGAGUAACCUGCCCUUGACUUUGGGAUAACUUCAGGAAACUGGGGCUAAUACCGGAUAGGAGCUCCUGCUGCAUGGUGGGGGUUGGAAAGUCUCGGCGGGUGGGGAUGGACUCGCGGCUUAUCAGCUUGCUGGUGGGGUAGUGGCUUACCAAGGCUUUGACGGGUAGCCGGCCUGAGAGGGUGACCGGCCACAUUGGGACUGAGAUACGGCCCAGACUCCUACGGGAGGCAGCAGUGGGGAAUAUUGCACAAUGGGCGGAAGCCUGAUGCAGCAACGCCGCGUGCGGGAUGACGGCCUUCGGGUUGUAAACCGCUUUCGCCUGUGACGAAGCGUGAGUGACGGUAAUGGGUAAAGAAGCACCGGCUAACUACGUG